UGAGAAAUAGACUUAAAUCUCUCUGAAAUA
RNAcentral lists this non-coding RNA (30 nucleotides) under Rattus norvegicus (Norway rat). Lineage: Eukaryota; Metazoa; Chordata; Mammalia; Rodentia; Muridae. The record is from RNAcentral.